RNAcentral lists this ribosomal RNA (467 nucleotides) under uncultured bacterium. Its description in RNAcentral is "partial 16S ribosomal RNA". It matches the Rfam family "Bacterial small subunit ribosomal RNA", at positions 28 to 506 of the family's 1533-position model. The record is from RNAcentral.
GACGAACGCUGGCGGCGUGCUUAACACAUGCAAGUCGAACGGAAAGGCCCUGCUUUUGUGGGGUGCUCGAGUGGCGAACGGGUGAGUAACACGUGAGUAACCUGCCCUUGACUUUGGGAUAACUUCAGGAAACUGGGGCUAAUACCGGAUAGGAGCUCCUGCUGCAUGGUGGGGGUUGGAAAGUUUCGGCGGUUGGGGAUGGACUCGCGGCUUAUCAGCUUGUUGGUGGGGUAGUGGCUUACCAAGGCUUUGACGGGUAGCCGGCCUGAGACGGUGACCGGCCACAUUGGGACUGAGAUACGGCCCAGACUCCUACGGGAGGCAGCAGUGGGGAAUAUUGCACAAUGGGCGGAAGCCUGAUGCAGCAACGCCGCGUGCGGGAUGACGGCCUUCGGGUGGUAAACCGCUUUCGCCUGUGACGAAGCGUGAGUGACGGUAAUGGGUAAAGAAGCACCGGCUAACUACGU